GGAAUCACAAAAACUGAAGCAUGAUUUAUAACAAAUUGUCUCGUAAUUUGGAAAUCCCAGAAGAAUACUUAUGUCCCUUUAUUUCAUGGCUCUUCUGAUCCUCUUUACAGAUGACUUCCAGUUUAGCACAUGGCCUAAUUCAGAGAGUUACUUACUUCACUCAUUAAAGUAGGACUGGAAGAAAACUACUUGAUCUCCAUCCAUAUCCGAACGCUUCUGCCUCGCAAGCAAGAAUUCACUGAUUCCUUCUGGAUAACUGUAUCAUAGGCCUGACUACACUGGGCAUCAAAAAAGCUGAAGAUACAAUCUGCAUAAAAUUUACAUAUAUUUGCAUGCAUAUGCUGGCCAGAAAAUACAGCAAUUCACAUUUCCACAUCAUAAGAGGAGUAAUGGAAGUGUUCUUUUGGUGUGCCUUUCAUUGUGGUGUUUUGUUUUCUUUCUUUUACAGGAAUCUGUUUCCCUCACAAACUUUCAAAGUCACACCUAUGCCCCAUGAGUAGAGAUCAAAUCUUUUCAGUUGUUGUCCUUAACCUGACUAUAUCCACUCUAACUUCUUCAUCCUAGCAGAAUUCUUUAAAAAUGUCUUAAUUCAGGACUACUUGCUUAUUUGAAACAUAUUCUGCUUGUGGUAUAGUUCCCCAACUUUGCCCUUCACCAACUUAGAUAUCUCCAUUUCUGCCUCCACAGCUCCUCACAGGUUUUCCUUCUGCUGCGGAACAGAAAAGCCGGAUGAGGAAAAUAGUGCUGUACUUAGGCUGCUGUCAUUUAGAGUUAAGAAGUCCUCCAUUUGGACCUACACCUGCAGAGCCUCCCUGCAUCAUCCAUGCACAUCAGUACAGGACUCUGGCACCAGGUUCUGCAGCAUUGCAGAAUUGCUGUCAAGGGUGGAACUGUUCAGUAGCUCAGGAUGCUGCCUUCCAGUCAUCCAUCUGUGCCUCUUCUGUGCCCAAAGCCAUAGACAAGGCAAGUAUGUUCCCAUACCCUUGAAGACCACUUACUGAUAAUGUGUACUCUAAGAAACCAAGAAGAAAGUUAUUUAUGUUAC
Molecule: long non-coding RNA, 1045 nt
Filed under: Coturnix japonica (Japanese quail)
Lineage: Eukaryota; Metazoa; Chordata; Aves; Galliformes; Phasianidae
Description: lncRNA (ENSCJPG00005018385.1)
Source: RNAcentral